GAUCAUGGCUCAGGAUGAACGCUAGCUACAGGCUUAACACAUGCAAGUCGUGGGGCAGCAUGGUGUUGCUGCAACAACCGAUGGCGACCGGCGCACGGGUGAGUAACGCGUAUCCAACCUGGCCCUUAGUAGGGGAUAGCCCGGCGAAAGUCGGAUUAAUACCCUAUGUUUUCCCAUGAGAGCAUUUGAAAGGGAACAAAGAUUCAUCGCUAGGGGAUGGGGAUGCGUCCGAUUAGCUUGCCGGCGGGGUAACGGCCCACCGGGGCGACGAUCGGUAGGGGUUCUGAGAGGAAGGUCCCCCACAUUGGAACUGAGACACGGUCCAAACUCCUACGGGAGGCAGCAGUGAGGAAUAUUGGUCAAUGGGCGAGAGCCUGAACCAGCCAAAGUAGCGUGAGGGAUGACGGCCCUACGGAUUGUAAACCUCUUUUGUACGGGAAUAAAGUGCGCCACGUGUGGCGUUUUGUAUGUACCGUAAGAAUAAGGACCGGCUAAUUCCGUGCCAGCAGCCGC
This 513-nucleotide ribosomal RNA is filed under the name uncultured bacterium. RNAcentral's name for it is "bacterial SSU rRNA". It matches the Rfam family "Bacterial small subunit ribosomal RNA", at positions 15 to 518 of the family's 1533-position model. The record is from RNAcentral.